RNA transcript from Lynx canadensis (Canada lynx), 4388 nucleotides. It is a transcript of the gene named chromosome E2 C16orf74 homolog, with no coding region annotated. The record is from RefSeq and is a predicted model, not a curated record. NCBI's taxonomy places the organism in Eukaryota, Metazoa, Chordata, Mammalia, Carnivora, Felidae. The transcript is spliced from 2 exons.
GGUCACCAGGUACGAUGGAGGCGGGGUUGGCCAGGCCUCUGCUGCUGCUGCCGGCCGGGCCCUGGGACAGGGACUGAGAUCCCAGCUGAGGAUGCGAGGGCUGAGGGGACUGAAGGCAGGUAGGACGGUCCUCCAGGCCUUUCCUGCUCUGUGUGGCAGCCGCUUCACCUGCGUCCCGUCUGCUGGAGCAGGGGUGGGAGAGCGGCUGAGCCAGGCUGGUGCUGACACUCGUGGAGUCAACAGAACUGCAGAAGGCUGGACCGGCCUGGAAAAUGGCCCCGUGGCCGUGUCCCUCCUGCUUCAGAGGUGCCUUGGGGCUCCCUCACUUACCCCGGGGACCUUGGGUUCAACUGUGCCUCAGCUCCUGUCCCCUAGAUCGGUUCUGUCAUGACGAAUGCCGCCUGAAGUGGCCAAGGGAGGGGGGCGGGUGAGAUGAGCAGAGGCCGAGCUCAGCCAUCAGCAACGUCUACACCCGCGGACUGGCACACCCCAGCACAGCAUUUGCUGAAGCACUGAAAUUGCGGGGCCCCUAAAGAAACUCCAGGAAGGGAGAGUCACAAAGGUGUCCCACAGCAGUGACCAGGGCACAGCCUCAGGGCCCGAGUCACGGGUCCUCAGACACCGAGGCUUCCCACGGGGAGCAGGAGACCCACGUCCGCCCCUCUCCAGCCCCAUCUGCCUCUGGUUCCAGCUGCUUGUCGGCGUGGCGGUGGGGUCUGGGCCCUGGACGGCCCAGCACGCCAGUACCCCCCCGGGCCUCUCCGCUGCCUCGGCCUCCUGGGGUCCACAGAGGCUUUCAUUCCAGGAACGCUCUUCACUCCCGCAGGCUCAGAGCCUUGUAGCGAUGCCCUCAUUCCUGCUCCGGAGUCUCCGAAGCUCAGUGGUGGCCUAGGGAGCCUGCUGGGAAAAGAGGCCCAUCUGCUUGCUGCCUUCCCAGAAGUGGCAUGGCGACUGGACGCAGGUGGGCCUCGCAGGCCUGAGCAAGCGUCCUUGGCUUGUCCUUGGCCACGGCUGACUCGCUUCUUACCAGCUUACUGGAAAUCCCUGCUCUCGGCCAGGCCUGUCUUAUUACCAGACACAGCCCUUGGCCACGUGUGAAGUCCUGUGGCUCCGCCCACAGCGUGUCCUUGUGCUCAUCUGCUCUCUGCCCUGGCCUGUGACAGGUCGAAGCCCCCAGGUCAGGAUCAGCCUUGCCCUCUCGCCCCGGCACUGCCUGUCAGCACCUCACGCGGGCGUCCUUGGAGCACCCCACCUCUUCUGCUUUCCCUCACGAGGGGAGACCCGCCCCAGGGUGGUGACAGAGUGCCAGGCACACCCGGACUUGGGGACUCACUGGGUCUGGAGGCAAUUCAUCGCCCCGUUCCGAUUGCCAGAAAUUUCCGCUUCUGUUACAAAUAAGCUGUGUCCCGCAAUCCCCUUUUGACCCUGGUGGCAGCCCCCAGGGCCUCCUUCCCAGGAGAGCUUUUCAGAAAUAGUGACCUCCUCCACCUCCCCCCCCCCCCCACCGUCGUGGUUUUGACUCCCUUCGCCACGUGGAUUCUAUCUCCAGUCUGUCCAUUCCUCUGUCCUCAAGGCCGGGAACUGGGGAUAUGAGCCAGGGAUUAAUCGCACGGAGUAAGCUUCCGAAAGUCACGGGGGCCAUUGGAAGGCCUGAGCUUAGAGAUAAUUUCCCUUCUCUGCAAAGGCCAGGCAUUUAGUCCAAAUGGGCAGAGUCGGGCGAGGGCCAGGCCAGCAGGGGACAGCAGCCACAGCCCAGAUGGCCAUCCCAGAAACACAAGCUACCGUCCCCAGCCUGAGACGCAAGACGGCCGCUGAUCUCUUCUCCUAGAGGCGGGCUUGUCCGUGCAGGGGAGGGCCAUCUGUCGCCAGAGCAAGACCCACCUGCCUCUCCGGGGAUUAGCCGGGGCCCCGAGCACCGAGCACCGAGCACCGGCUCGACUUGCCACCCACAGGCUCGAAAAGUGGUUUCCGCGUCUGGGAAAGGAGAGCGAAUCAGCACCGAGUAGGCGCAAGGGAGUGAGAAGGCCAGUUCUGAAUCCGGCUGGCUGAGCUCAAACCCCGGCAACGCUGGGCAACCUCUCCGCCCUCCGUGUCCUCAUCUGUAAAAUGUCCUCGUCGCCAUCGGGUCGGUUCGUUAGUGCCGGGCACACACUAAGCACUCCACAAAUAUUCACGGCUGCGAUUCUUACCAGACGCUGGUUGUGAAAAAAUGGCCACGCUUUGGCUCCACAUCAGCUGGGUGAUGUAGGUACCCUCACCCCAUCUUUGGGGGGGGGGGACACCGAACGGCAGGGUGGGCAGGUGACCUUCGCGAGGCCAUUCUUUAUUUUUUCGUUCAGAGAACACCUUCACGUGCGCUCUUGUACGACACUCAGGAGCCCCUCGCCGCAGUUGCUGACUUUGCUCGGAGCUAAAAUGUUGAGCUGAGACCGCCUCUGGCUUCCUCCCCCUUCCCGCCUCUUUCUCCCCCUUCCCGGAGUCCAGCGCUCCCCGGAGGCUCCCCGCGAGUCGGGUCGCGUUGCGGGGGUGUGCGACUUCCACUUGGUCUUUUUUCCAAAGUGUUCCAAUCGACAUCACGCCGUCCGUGUGUUUCCCUACUCGCUGUGCCUUUGAGUAUUUCCCGUGCGGACACCCCCAGGUCUGGGUCGCGUCCCCUUGGCCGCCGUGCGAUCUUCCGCCAAAUGAGGUCACCGCCAAAUGAGGUCACCGCCUAUCCACGCCCCAGGGCGUCCGUUCAUCCUUCUGACGGACGGCAGUUCCUAGUUGGCGGUUUGACCCACGGUGCUGGGCGAACAGCCCCACGCCUGCCUGCUCGUGCGCGUGUCCCAGGACACAGACCCCUCGGUGGAGUGGCUGGGCGGCGGGGGAUGAGUUGCCCAGAUGCUGCCCGCUUCCUUCCACCGCACGAGCUGGGAAGAGUUCUCGGCGCCGCGGCCAGAGCUGGCACUUGGCGUCCAUCGGGUGGGUGUGCGCUGGGGUCUCCUCGGUCGCCAAAUGCGGGCCGGCCUUGGCAGCUCGCCAGGCCGCGUGCCGAUUACACGUCGAAACGAUCGUUUUUGGAGACAUUGGGUUAAACGAAAAAGACCCCUAGAAUGCACUUUGCCUGUCUUGUUUUCACUCCUUUUAACAAGGCUGCUAGGAAAUCUGUAAGCGGCACCGGGGGCGGGAGUUAGAUUUCUGUGGGAUGAUGCAGCCCUACAGUCUGCCCGGCAGGUGCCUGGUGGCAGGCGCCCGGGGAGCGUUUGAUGAAUGAGUGAGUGAAAUCAGACACUUGAGAGGAAGACAUCCUUGGCAUAGCUGGGGCCCCCCGGCCCCACCCCUGGCGCCUGUGCCAAGGCUGAGAGCUAUGAGCCCCUUGGCCCCCUGCCUCCGGGGACUGAGGGGUGGGCCCCUGGAGACCAGCUGCCUGGGAGAGAAGCCUGGGCUCUGCCGGGCCAGACUCCCGGCCACCCCCCCUCCUCCCCGCAGCAGGGCCUCCCGGAAAGCCCCACGCCGACCACGGAAACGAUGUCCUGCAGGACGGCUCGGGCCCCCUUGGGCGAGCACCCUCGUUUCCCUCCCAGCCCUACCCUGCGGGCGCUGUCCCUAAGCCCACGGGAGGCCAGGACUACACUGUGGAGGGUGGUGAGUCAGCCGCUGUGCCUGCCCAAGGCCUCGAGGAAGAAGGACACCAAAGCUUGGCUCGGCCCCUGGGCAAGGUGCCCGGGCCCUGCACUCCACGGGGCCGCCGUGACGCCCUGAGAAAGGUUAACUUUGAAGCCGCCUGUGGAGCGGCUAAGCCAGGCGGAGCUUGAACAAACAGCCCCAAGGCUUCCAGCUUGGGGUGCCCUGCAGAGUAACCCCGGAGCAGUGGGGAGCCCGGUCUGAAGUGUCGGCGGCUCCCCUGUCGUUCCAAAAUGUGCAGAAAGCUCACCCAUCUGGACUCUGGGAAGAAAUCUGUCACUCAGGGCUUCAGGCAACUGAACAUCACCCGUCAGACACGGUGCUCACACGUAGUCUGAUGGUUUUACGUGGGAAAUGUUUGCCAAUGACCUUCAUCCUUUUCUCCGUGACAAAUGGUGACCGGUAGGUACGAGGCUGGACAGUUGAAUGGCGACACCCUGAGGCCCUGUUGAGCAUGGAAGACUGUGUCUCCGCUGUCCCCAGGGGCCACACUUUCUGGGCCUUGGGUCUGCUUUCCUAGUUCCUCGUUCUUCUCUGGUCCAGAACCUUCACCCGCCCCUGCUGCCUAGGGCAUCUGCGGUCCAUGUCCUUCCCUGCCCUCGCUUUCCCCUGGCCCAUCCCGACCCCCUCUGAAAUGACUCCCUCUAAGCUGAGCUGGAGAAACCAGACUUGUUCAAUAAUAUGUAAAAUAAAGGCAAAAGGUUUGGAUUGGGUCUUACCUCUGA